Mustela lutreola (European mink) is the source of this 2905-nucleotide long non-coding RNA. RefSeq lists it as uncharacterized. Lineage: Eukaryota; Metazoa; Chordata; Mammalia; Carnivora; Mustelidae. The transcript has 3 exons. The record is from RefSeq and is a predicted model, not a curated record.
GCUUAUAUGAAAACUGUCACCCUGUCCUUCACCUCCUGGGCACCAGAGGGCAGAUAUCUUAAAUCUCACUUACCCAGCACAUAAAUCCUUUUUCCCUCCACAGCAAAGUUCUGUCCUCUGGAUUUGCUCCAGCACCCUGUAGAAGCUGAAAGGAACAAUUCAGUUUUGCUUUUCCGGACAAUGUCUUUGCAGCGGCUAAUUGGUUCAACACACCCACCAGGGACAGAAAGUAAGGAUUACUCAGGAGGCAGCCCCACCACCCUUUAUCAAUCAGCACAGUCAAAAGACUUGUCCUUGUAAAUAGUCUUUGCAAACAAUCAGUUCAUAAUCUUUUUUGUUCUUGUGAACCUUUAAUUGUUUUUCCGGCUAAAGACAAUCUGAAAUUCAAUUCAUUGCGCUAGCCUUCAAAGCUUGUGAGGUAAGAUUAUAGAAGUGAAACUGCUUUCAAAGGGGAAAGCAGAACCAUAUAAUGGCAAAGUAGAUUAUCCCUAGGAGAUAACGUUAACAAGACAAGGUCCUUUGCCUAAUAAGUAAUCAAUAAAAGGUCAACAAUGAUUGCCGGGGAUUCAUUUUAAAGGAGUGAAGUUAACUUUUGGUCCUGGCGAAUGUAGUCUUAUAGUUUGUAUUUUCUAACAAUUUUGUUUGUUGUUGAGCUUCCUUUUUGAAAAAAAUUUCACUUUCUAAAAAAAAAAAAAGAAAGAAAGAAAGAAAGAAAAAAUUUUCAUUUUCUAAACCUGUUAAUUCUUGUGGACUUACCCUAACCUUCACAUUCAGAACCGCUCAAAUCGACAUUUCUUCAUUUAUAGAGUAUUGUGGCUAUUAAGAAAUCUAGAAAUUGAAUUUUAAAAAUAAAACAUAACUUUUUAUUUGCUGUGAGAAACCAGGUAUCAACCAACAAUAAGUAAAUAGUUCCAAAAGAAAAUGCAAGUUCAAAGAUGUGGAAUAUCUUUUUUUCCCUAAUACCAAGUAAGAAUAUUCUUAUUUUCCUUUGGGCCUCAAUAUCAGUAUAUUUAGAGUAGCUUUAGAUUUCUUGGGAUUGUUUUUAAUGUUUAUUUCCUUCUUCUGACAACUAUGAUCAGAUUCAGCUGAAGGAAUCAGAGACUUCAGAGUAUCACAAUUGGUGGGGUGUGUGUGUGUGUGUGUGAGUGCUUUUAAUAUUUUUUACUUAUUUGUCAGACAGAGGGAGAGAGAACACAAGCAGGGGGAGAAGCAAGCAGAGGGAGAAGCAGACUCCCUACCGAGCAGGGAGCCCUAUGAAGGACUGGGUCCCAGGGCCCUGGGAUCAUGACCUGAGCCAAAGGCAGGGGCUUGAUCCACUGAGCCACUUAGACAUCCCACAAUUGGCAGUUUCUAAAUUCAACAGAAACACCCCUCCCUGAAUAAAAAGAUUUUUUUGCUCAGUGUUAUGCCAAGGUCUUGCUAACUUACCUUAACUGUUUUCGUGAUUACUGCAAGCAGUAGGAAGAGAAAUUAAGACUUGUACAGCACUUUAUUCAUACAUAUUCACACUCAUUCAUCUCCCCACACGCAUGUGGGAUGGACACUUUAUAGGAUGGACAACUGCCUCAGAGAAGUUAAAUAAGCUGAUUUAAAAAUUCAAGUUACAUAUUACUACAGGGAAAUUAGUGUUUUGGUUUUGUUUUCUAUUUUUUUAAAGAUUUUAUUUAUUUAUUUGACAGAGAUCGCAAGUAGGCAGGUUGGGGGGGGGGGAGCAGUCUCCCCACUGAUCAGAGAGCUCAACUCAGGGCUUGAUCCCAGAACCCUGCAAUCAUGGCCCAAGCCGAAGGCAGAGGCUUUAACCCACUGAGCCACCCAGGCGCCCCAUUCUUUUCUUUUCUUUUCUUUUUCUUUUUUUAAGAAUUGGCAUAGACCAUAGUCCUGUAUUUCUAAUGGUUUAUAUGUGAAAAACUUUUUUUUAAGUCAAAUAUUUGGACUUGAAAUAUAUUCCAAAAUUAAUCCUGAGUACAUGGGAAAAUAUAUUCUGAAUUUCAAUUCCCCCAGCUCCAAUCUGAUCCCAGCUCAUAAAUUCCAGACCUCUUUCGUUCUUCAGCUCAGUAUUUUCUGCUUAUACAGUUUUAUCUUCUGAGGCUUCAGUUACCUGUGGUCAGUCCUGCUCCAGAAGCAGAUGAUCCUAGAGGAAUUAGGAGAAGGUCCACAGCUGCCAAAUUCAUUCACCUCGUCUCAUCUCAUCCUAGGCAUCCCGUCAUUCACAGCAUCACAAGAAGAAGGGCAUUUAUUUCUUAUGAAAAUGGCCUUCAUAUAAACCCCGAAGAAGAGAAGGGAAAGAGAAAUAACUUCCAAAUGAGUGUCCCAUGGCUGGUGAGUCCAACUAUAGUGCGGAAGCAAGAGAUAACAUGAGGCAGGACACAGUCCCAUCCACCACCAUCAUCAAAAUUAUCUUCCUUAUGGUCAUGCCAGUGAUGCAUUUAUUAGGAACACUAAAGUGAAGCCUGGAAGUGAGACUCACACCUGCAAAGGGUAAGUGCAAAAAUGUGUGGCAGGACUAAUUUUGACUUAAGUAUUUGUAAACUUGCCCUACUCUGGACAUUGUGCUAGAUAUCUGGGAUACAGUACAUUAUGAAUACAUGUGUCACAUUUGAUUUGUCAAGGAAGUGGUCAACUCUGAUCCUCUUAGAGAAAUAAAGAUUAAUCUUAUGCAACAGUUUUCUGGACUCUUUUUUAUUCUAUUAUUCAAAUCCUUAUCUAUUCAAGGUCCUUGUCUCCUUAGUUCCUCUUUGGUUGCUAAUGGUGAUCCUGCUCUGGGAAUUUUCUCUGUACUGGUUCUGCAAGCCCAGGCAGGUUCUGCCUCUAGGGCUUCUGGGCUGGAGUCCUCUAACAACUUAACCACCCCACCAAGUUUCUGACCAUUCGCCUUAGCUGGAAUCAGUCACCCACAUCAAGUCAA